Lachnospiraceae bacterium is the source of this 74-nucleotide transfer RNA. It matches the Rfam family "tRNA". Rfam says of the family: Transfer RNA (tRNA) molecules are approximately 80 nucleotides in length. Their secondary structure includes four short double-helical elements and three loops (D, anti-codon, and T loops). Further hydrogen bonds mediate the characteristic L-shaped molecular structure. tRNAs have two regions of fundamental functional importance: the anti-codon, which is responsible for specific mRNA codon recognition, and the 3' end, to which the tRNAs corresponding amino acid is attached (by aminoacyl-tRNA synthetases). tRNAs cope with the degeneracy of the genetic code in two manners: having more than one tRNA (with a specific anti-codon) for a particular amino acid; and 'wobble' base-pairing, i.e. permitting non-standard base-pairing at the 3rd anti-codon position. NCBI's taxonomy places the organism in Bacteria, Bacillati, Bacillota, Clostridia, Lachnospirales, Lachnospiraceae. The record is from Rfam.
GUCGCUAUAGCUCAGCAGGAUAGAGCGACCGCCUCCUAAGCGGUAGGCCGGAGGUUCGAAUCCUCUUAGCGACG